RNAcentral lists this ribosomal RNA (253 nucleotides) under uncultured bacterium. RNAcentral describes it as "partial 16S ribosomal RNA". It matches the Rfam family "Bacterial small subunit ribosomal RNA", at positions 524 to 776 of the family's 1533-position model. The record is from RNAcentral.
UACGAAGGGGGCUAGCGUUGUUCGGAAUUAUUGGGCGUAAAGGGCGCGUAGGCGGCCUUGCAAGUGACGGGUGAAAUCCCUCGGCUUAACCGAGGAACUGCCUGUCAGACUGCAUGGCUUGAGACCGGGAGAGGUGAGUGGAAUUCCCAGUGUAGCGGUGAAAUGCGUAGAUAUUGGGAGGAACACCAGUGGCGAAGGCGGCUCACUGGUCCGGUACUGACGCUGAGGUGCGAAAGCGUGGGGAGCAAACAGG